CGAUGUGCUGGCUGGAGUAGGAGUGGAGGUAGACAUGGACCGAUGUGCUGGCUGGAGUAGGAGUGGAGGUAGACAUGGACCGAUGUGCUGGCUGGAGUA
Oncorhynchus keta (chum salmon) is the source of this 99-nucleotide long non-coding RNA. RefSeq lists it as uncharacterized. The transcript has 3 exons. The record is from RefSeq and is a predicted model, not a curated record. NCBI's taxonomy places the organism in Eukaryota, Metazoa, Chordata, Actinopteri, Salmoniformes, Salmonidae.